This 771-nucleotide ribosomal RNA is filed under the name uncultured bacterium. RNAcentral's name for it is "bacterial SSU rRNA". It matches the Rfam family "Bacterial small subunit ribosomal RNA", at positions 56 to 790 of the family's 1533-position model. The record is from RNAcentral.
UGCAAGUCGAACGGAAGUCGUUGUAAUGAAAUGGAAAUGGACAGAGAACUUGUUCGAAGAAAGUUGAAGUAGACUUACAACAAUGGCUUUAGUGGCGGACUGGUGAGUAACGCGUAAGGAACCUGCCUUUUAGAGGGGAAUAACAAUGAGAAAUCAUUGCUAAUACCGCAUAUGCCGAGAGAAUCACAUGGUACAAUCGGGAAAGGAGCAAUCCGCUAAAAGAUGGCCUUGCGUCUGAUUAGAUAGUUGGUGGGGUAACGGCCUACCAAGUCGACGAUCAGUAGCCGGACUGAGAGGUUGAACGGCCACAUUGGGACUGAGAUACGGCCCAGACUCCUACGGGAGGCAGCAGUCGGGAAUAUUGCGCAAUGGAGGAAACUCUGACGCAGUGACGCCGCGUAUAGGAAGAAGGUUUUCGGAUUGUAAACUAUUGUCGUUAGGGAAGAGAAAGGACAGUACCUAAGGAGGAAGCUCCGGCUAACUACGUGCCAGCAGCCGCGGUAAUACGUAGGGAGCGAGCGUUAUCCGGAAUUAUUGGGUGUAAAGGGUGCGUAGACGGGAAGAUAAGUUAGUUGUGAAAUCCCUCGGCUUAACUGAGGAACUGCAACUAAAACUGUUUUUCUUGAGUGCAGGAGAGGUAAGUGGAAUUCCUAGUGUAGCGGUGAAAUGCGUAGAUAUUAGGAGGAACACCAGUGGCGAAGGCGACUUACUGGACUGUAACUGACGUUGAGGCACGAAAGUGUGGGGAGCAAACAGGAUUAGAUACCCUGG